This 160-nucleotide unclassified non-coding RNA is filed under the name uncultured Chalara. RNAcentral describes it as "sequence contains ITS1". Lineage: Eukaryota; Fungi; Ascomycota; Leotiomycetes; Helotiales. The record is from RNAcentral.
CAGAGUUCAUGCCCUUCGGGGUAGACCUCCCACCCUAUGUAUACAUUGCCUUUGUUGCUUUGGCGGACCGCCUUUUGGCCACCGGCCCCGGCUGGUGCGUGUCCGCCAGAGAACCCCAAACCCUGUUUUACAGUGUCGUCCGAGUACUAUAUAAUAGUUA